ACUUGUAGACUAGUAUACUAGACGCUCACGAGUCUUAGCACAGUCGCAUCACUGCCAAUCCAUUGCUCUCGCCUAGUACACGACCAAUCGAUGAUGGCCUUGGAACCCUAGGAGCGGCCGCGCGGCUCAGCUUCGCCAUGGGCUCCCUCGACAAGGGAGGAGCGGCGGCGGCGGCGGGGAGGUACAAGCGCGUUCCGGGCCCAGCGCUGCGGGCUGGCUUCGUCGGCGGCGCGCGGAAGGUGCGGGCGAGAUCCAGGCUCGCGCGCUUCCUGCUGUCCGAGAAGGUGGACUAUCUCCAGUGGAUAGUCGGCGCCACCGCCUUCUUCUUCGUCGUCAUCGUCUUCGUCGCGUUUCUCCCGGAGUUGGGCGUCUUCGAGCGGCCCAGGCUGACGCUCCCCUCGCGCCGCGCGGGAGAGGGACGCGUCGGAGGCGGAGGCGGGAUUGAGGGCCGCAGCGGCCUCGUCAUGUGGGAGGCGGGCAUGGCGUCCCAGUUCCAGCCGACCAGGCUGAGGGAGAAAUGGGCGAGUGAGCGGAGGGAGGAGGCCAAGAGCUUGGCGGAGCUCGGGACGCCCGUAACGAGGCUCGGGGCACGGAAGCCGCGGCUUGCCAUGGUGUUUGGUGACCUGUAUCCCAGCGCAAUGCAGCUUCAGAUGGUCAGCGUCGCUUCGGUUCUGGAGGCCAUGGGCUACGAAAUGAAGGUGCGUCCCUGAACCUGAAAUGCUGUCUCGCGAACCAUAGGCUAGAAGUUUACUUGUUGGUCGUCAGACAAGUUCGUGGAGGUAGUACUGAUUUGAGUGGAACACGCGCCCUUGUGUUUGUUUUGUGACAUUUUGCUUCUAGCAGAUUGUUCAUGGCUAAACUAGGCUGUUGUCAUUAAUCGUCAAUAUUUUGGAGCAAGUUGGGUUGUCUUGUCAUGUCUGAUGUAUGCACCUAUUCAGUAAUGCAUGAGCCUUGUUGUUGGUCUCUA
Molecule: RNA transcript, 967 nt
Organism: Zea mays
Lineage: Eukaryota; Viridiplantae; Streptophyta; Magnoliopsida; Poales; Poaceae
Source: RefSeq, marked validated